RNAcentral lists this ribosomal RNA (254 nucleotides) under uncultured prokaryote. Its description in RNAcentral is "partial 16S ribosomal RNA". It matches the Rfam family "Bacterial small subunit ribosomal RNA", at positions 525 to 775 of the family's 1533-position model. The record is from RNAcentral.
ACGUAGGUGCCAAGCGUUAUCCGGAAUUACUGGGCGUAAAGCGCACGCAGGCGGCUGAUUAAGUCUGACGUGAAAUCUCCUGGCUUAACUGGGAGGGGUCGUUGGAAACUGGUCGGCUUGAGGCAGUGAGAGGGGUGUGGAAUUCCCGGUGUAGUGGUGGAAUGCGUAGAUAUCGGGAGGAACACCAGUGGCGAAAGCGGCGACCUGCUCGGCCUUGCCUGACGCUCAGACGCGAAAGCAUGGGGAGCGAACGG